This 105-nucleotide small nuclear RNA is filed under the name Dipodomys ordii (Ord's kangaroo rat). Lineage: Eukaryota; Metazoa; Chordata; Mammalia; Rodentia; Heteromyidae. The record is from RNAcentral.
GUGCUCACUUUGACAGCACAUACACUAACUUUAGAAGGAAACAGAAGUUUCCCAUGACCCCUACACAGGGCUGGAACACAAAUCCAUGCAGCAUUCAAUUUACAU